Molecule: ribosomal RNA, 395 nt
Filed under: Enterobacter cloacae
Lineage: Bacteria; Pseudomonadati; Pseudomonadota; Gammaproteobacteria; Enterobacterales; Enterobacteriaceae
Description: bacterial SSU rRNA
Rfam family: Bacterial small subunit ribosomal RNA
Source: RNAcentral
CCAGAGAACUUAGCAGAGAUGCUUUGGUGCCUUCGGGAACUCUGAGACAGGUGCUGCAUGGCUGUCGUCAGCUCGUGUUGUGAAAUGUUGGGUUAAGUCCCGCAACGAGCGCAACCCUUAUCCUUUGUUGCCAGCGGUUCGGCCGGGAACUCAAAGGAGACUGCCAGUGAUAAACUGGAGGAAGGUGGGGAUGACGUCAAGUCAUCAUGGCCCUUACGAGUAGGGCUACACACGUGCUACAAUGGCAUAUACAAAGAGAAGCGACCUCGCGAGAGCAAGCGGACCUCAUAAAGUAUGUCGUAGUCCGGAUUGGAGUCUGCAACUCGACUCCAUGAAGUCGGAAUCGCUAGUAAUCGUGGAUCAGAAUGCCACGGUGAAUACGUUCCCGGGCCUUG